GGCGGUCAGCGUUGAACAGCUAAAAAAGCGAGCAGAGCGAUUUGGCGGGAACGUUUCUUCAGUUUCCAAGAAGGUUGAGGAAGAUGAAAAGCUGAAGAAGCGGAAAGAAAGAUUUGGGAUCCUCGCUGCGGUUACACCUGACGUUGAGGCAAAGAAACGGAAGCGUUCUGAACGAUUUGGAAAUGUGACUGUGUAAAUUGUGGUAUUUACAGAUGUUUUAUGUUUUUAUUUUAUUUUGUUGCAAAC
This is a long non-coding RNA of Salvelinus namaycush (lake trout), 246 nucleotides long. RefSeq lists it as uncharacterized. The transcript has 3 exons. NCBI's taxonomy places the organism in Eukaryota, Metazoa, Chordata, Actinopteri, Salmoniformes, Salmonidae. The record is from RefSeq and is a predicted model, not a curated record.